This 1331-nucleotide long non-coding RNA is filed under the name Zalophus californianus (California sea lion). Its description in RNAcentral is "lncRNA (ENSZCAG00015025170.1)". Lineage: Eukaryota; Metazoa; Chordata; Mammalia; Carnivora; Otariidae. The record is from RNAcentral.
UACACCAGAGACACCCCCAAUCCCUCCCCCAGGACUUCUAGCUGUCUGCGAGUCGGAGAAGAACCCGAUUACAGUCAGGAGACGGGAGCGUUAACCCUCCAGGUGUUUUGUAAAGGAGGACGAAAACAGGCGAGCUGCACGACUCCGCCGAAGUGGAGUGUUUUGUCUGCGGUGCUGCCCGUGUGUUUGGCGUUUUACAAACCAAGGGACUGGCCUCAGCCUCUCGGCCCGGGACGGCCACAUUCGCAAAGUUCGAUCUCUCAAAGCCAGAGCAGUUUGCAAGCUCUUUCCAGUGGCAACCCUGCUGACGUUUGGAUUCGGCUAGGAGAGCGCAGCAGAAUCCCAACCAGCCGCACCGGUCCCGGCGAACCAGAGCGUGUUAAUCUAUUUAUAUGGAUUAUUACAGAGGAACAGCGGGCGUUGAGUCACCAAAACAUUUGCUUCAAAAGACCAUUUCUAAGCACUUUCGGAGGAGGCAGGCUCCAGAAGCAUAAACUGGGCUACGCGUUAAAGAACGACUGCUUUUCGAAUGCUACAAACUCCAGCUAAGUCUCCGGGACCGCGCAGAAAGCAGUGAAAAGAAAUGCUUGGGGGUGGGGGCAGAUCCUAGUCUAGACGCGCGCGCGCGCGCGCGCACACACACACACACACACACACACACACACACACGCACGCAAAAUUCGUGCGGAGACGGCACCAAACUUCUGACAUUACGAGAGUAUGGCAAACUUACACACUUGGACGUCCCGGGUCCCCCGCCUUCCCCGCUGCAACCCCCCCCCCCAACGCCAGACCAGAGGCAGCGCUCCCCUCCCCGCUCCUCCCCUCCCCUCUCGUCACCCAAGCCCACUGCCACAAUCCUCCUCCUCGCAAAAUCCAGUCCAAUCAGCUGCCUGCCAACCCCUGAAAUGCCGUGCUGUGAUUGGCUGGCCGUCUCUAAGGUGAGGAGCAGUAGUUAUUAAAGAGUCCCAGAGCUGCGAGUUGAGGAGCUGAGAGCGGAGGUUGAAACUCACUGGAAACUUGCGCCGCGACUUGCCAGUUUCACCCCAGGAACUUUUCUUUGCAGGAGGAGAAGAAAAGGGGUGCAAGCGCCCCGCUUUUGCUCUCUUUCUUCCCCUCCUUCUUCUCCUCUCCAGUUCGCCUUACCCCACUUGGAGCAGACAGCUGCGGGCUGGCCACCGCGCGCCUUCCCAAGUGCUUGCCGCCGCAGCCGGCUGACGUGCCAGGCUCCCCGGGAGCCGCUCGCUCCGCGUUCGGGCAGCCGAGGGGAGAGGAGCCCGCGCCUCGAGUCCCCGAGCCGCCGCGGCUUCUCGCCUUUCCCUGCCACCCGC